UCAAAUUCAAAACACCCCACAGAACUUCUCCAGUCUUCUUGAACCAGAAAAACAGAAGAAAAAUGGAAGAAUUAGAUUCCAAUCACACCCUUGAAACUCCAUCAUCAUCAUCAUAUCAGAAUCGAAUCAAACUCAACGUUGGUGGUAAAAUUUUCGAAACCACAAUCUCAACACUCCAAUCAGGCGGUCCGGAUUCACUCUUAUCAGCUCUUUCUUCACGGCUUAAUCCCAACCCUAACCCGAACCCUGUUUUUAUAGACAGAGAUCCGGAGAUCUUCUCAACUCUUCUUUCUCUGCUCCGAUCGAAUCGUCUUCCUUCAACAUAUCGCCGGUAUACUAAACAAGAAUUAUGCGAAGAAGCUGUUUAUUACGGGAUCGAAAAUCAAUUAAAAUCAGCGUUAUUACCGCCUUCAUUAUUAGGGAUCGAUUGUUCGAUUGUUGAAACGAUAAAACCUGCUGCCGAGGGUUUUCCGAGUAGUUUUACAGCGGGAGCCGGAGAUGGUUCCGUUUGGAUAGCACAUGGUGGUCAGAUAUCUGGUUAUGAUUGGAAUUUGAUACAUACGGGGACUGUAAGAAGUCAUUUUGAAGAUAUUAGUUCGAUUCGUCGAGUUUGGUCUGAAAUCGUUGCUGUUGGGUCUGAAAUUGAUUCAGGUCUUCAUUUGUAUGAUGUUUCAUGUGGUAAACAUGUAGGUGCUGUUGAAUGGACUGAUAAAUCUGAUCCAAGAAUUUAUAAGAGUCGUGUUUUCGCCAUUACUGAUUCAACUGACUCGAUUUACGGUUCAUUGAAAUGUUCACAUGGUGAAAAUUGUGUUCUUCAGAUUGAUAAAAAUACGCUUCAAGUGGUGUCGGAGAUUGGUCGUCAGUCUGGUAACUCAGCAAAGAGUUUUGUUCCUGGGAAGCUGAUGUAUGUGCCGCAACUCGGCAUGAUUGUUGGAAGUGCAGUGACUUGUGGCGCAUUUGGGUAUUCAGGGUACAUUAGAAUUUGGGAUCCAAGGUCUGGUAAUGAGGUUUGGGAAACGAAUGAGCCGGGUUCGGGACGGAGCAGUAGGUUUGGGGAUUCGUUUGCGGACGUGGAUGUGGAUGUUGAUGAGUUAACGAUGUCUAAAGUUUGUUCGAAAUCAGGUGAUGUCGCAAUUGCGGAUUUGCGGAAACUGACGGAUGAUCCGUGGGUGUAUUUGGAAGAAAAGAAUGCUAGUUUGAGAAGCUCAAGAGGUGGUGGAGGUGAAGAAGGGGAUAAUAUGGUGAUUCAUUGUUAUAAGAAACAAGUGUUUUUGAGUAGAGAAGGUGAUUUAGAAGUAUGGUCAAGUGUGAAUCAGAAAGAAGAAGAAAACAGGGAAUUGGACAAAUGGUAUUACAGGAGGAACUAUAUGGGCAAUAGUACCAAGGAACAUGAAUUGAGUAGUAGUAAUAAAGGGAUUGUAAAGAGAAUUGAAGGUGGUGGUGAUAGGUUAUUUGUUAACAGAGAAGGUGUUGAGGGAGUUGAAGUAUGGGAAAGCUCCAAUUUUUCCAAGAAGGUUGCAGUUUUGUGAUACCACAGUUCAACAAUGUUUUACAGCAACUGGCAUGAACUACCUUAUGGCACAGUGGCUUUGGCUUCCGGCUUAGUACUUGGGCGGGGAAUUUGAAUGUAAAGAGAAAAAUGCAAACAAGAUCGUUCCUAUGAAUCCUAUUAUAAUUAUCAUGGUACACCUAGUACAGUCUUAUGGCUAAAGUUGAAGGAACUUAAGCAGAAGUUGAAGACAUGGAACAAGGAGGUGUUUGGUCUUACCAACAUAAAACUGAACUUGAUUCUAGCAAAAAUCCAAGACAUUGAUAAGUUUGCAGAAGACAAUAUUUUGUCAGAAGAAGAUGAAAACGUGGAGGUACCAAAAUACA
Papaver somniferum (opium poppy) is the source of this 1875-nucleotide RNA transcript. It is a transcript of the gene named BTB/POZ domain-containing protein At3g09030-like, with no coding region annotated. The transcript has 3 exons. NCBI's taxonomy places the organism in Eukaryota, Viridiplantae, Streptophyta, Magnoliopsida, Ranunculales, Papaveraceae. The record is from RefSeq and is a predicted model, not a curated record.